AAAUAUGAGGCGGGCUGGACCUCUCGGGGUUACAGCCUUGCUGAAUUAUUCACCCUUGUCUUUUGCGUACUUCUUGUUUCCUUGGUGGGUUCGCCCACCACUAGGACAAACAUAAACCUUUUGUAAUUGCAAUCAGCGUCAGUAACAAAUUAAUAAUUACAACUUUCAACAACGGAUCUCUUGGUUCUGGCAUCGAUGAAGAACGCAGCGAAAUGCGAUAAGUAGUGUGAAUUGCAGAAUUCAGUGAAUCAUCGAAUCUUUGAACGCACAUUGCGCCCUUUGGUAUUCCAAAGGGCAUGCCUGUUCGAGCGUCAUUUGUACCCUCAAGCUUUGCUUGGUGUUGGGCGUCUUGUCUCUAGCUUUGCUGGAGACUCGCCUUAAAGUAAUUGGCAGCCGGCCUACUGGUUUCGGAGCGCAGCACAAGUCGCACUCUCUAUCAGCAAAGGUCUAGCAUCCAUUAAGCCUUUUUUUCAACUUUUGACCUCGGAUCAGGUAGGGAUACCCGCUGAACUUAAGCAUAUCAAAAGCCGGAGGAGGUAUC
Molecule: ribosomal RNA, 541 nt
Filed under: Alternaria tenuissima
Lineage: Eukaryota; Fungi; Ascomycota; Dothideomycetes; Pleosporales; Pleosporaceae
Description: eukaryotic LSU rRNA
Rfam family: 5.8S ribosomal RNA (bases 161-314)
Source: RNAcentral